RNAcentral lists this transfer RNA (75 nucleotides) under Ruminococcaceae bacterium FB2012. RNAcentral describes it as "tRNA_Cys_GCA". It matches the Rfam family "tRNA". Rfam says of the family: Transfer RNA (tRNA) molecules are approximately 80 nucleotides in length. The record is from RNAcentral. Lineage: Bacteria; Bacillati; Bacillota; Clostridia; Eubacteriales; Oscillospiraceae.
GACUGUGUAGUCAAAAGGCUAAGGCUCCGGGCUGCAACCCCGGGAAUGCAGGUUCGACUCCUGCCACAGUCUCCA